Molecule: long non-coding RNA, 150 nt
Organism: Lampris incognitus (smalleye Pacific opah)
Lineage: Eukaryota; Metazoa; Chordata; Actinopteri; Lampriformes; Lampridae
Exons: 3
Source: RefSeq, a predicted model, not a curated record
GACAACAUGGUGGCAAAGCUAUCCAUUUCAUGGUCGCCAAGAUUUCCAACUCACUGAGGAAAGGAGAGAUUUAUAGAUUGAUGGCUGUCAAUUGAGCCUCUUUUUACAGACUCGUGCUUGAGGAGGGGUGCUGACUUCGACGUAUGACAG